UACGUAGGUGGCAAGCGUUGUCCGGAAUUACUGGGCGUAAAGGGCGUGUAGGCGGAUUUUUAAGUCAGGUGUGAAAUCUUUGGGCUUAACCCAGAGUUUGCAUUUGAAACUGGAAGUCUUGAGUGCAGGAGAGGGCAGUGGAAUUCCUAGUGUAGCGGUGAAAUGCGUAGAUAUUAGGAGGAACACCAGUGGCGAAGGCGACUGCCUGGACUGUAACUGACGCUGAGGCGCGAAAGCGUGGGGAGCAAACAGG
This 253-nucleotide ribosomal RNA is filed under the name uncultured bacterium. Its description in RNAcentral is "partial 16S ribosomal RNA". It matches the Rfam family "Bacterial small subunit ribosomal RNA", at positions 524 to 776 of the family's 1533-position model. The record is from RNAcentral.